Molecule: ribosomal RNA, 468 nt
Filed under: uncultured bacterium
Lineage: Bacteria
Description: partial 16S ribosomal RNA
Rfam family: Bacterial small subunit ribosomal RNA
Source: RNAcentral
GACGAACGCUGGCGGCGUGCUUAACACAUGCAAGUCGAACGGAAAGGCCCUGCUUUUGUGGGGUGCUCGAGUGGCGAACGGGUGAGUAACACGUGAGUAACCUGCCCUUGACUUUGGGAUAACUUCAGGAAACUGGGGCUAAUACCGGAUAGGAGCUCCUGCUGCAUGGUGGGGGUUGGAAGGUUUCGGCGGUUGGGGAUGGACUCGCGGCUUAUCAGCUUGUUGGUGGGGUAGUGGCUUACCAAGGCUUUGAAGGGUAGCCGGCCUGAGAGGGUGACCGGCCACAUUGGGACUGAGAUACGGCCCAGACUCCUACGGGAGGCAGCGGUGGGGAAUAGUGCACAAUGGGCGGAAGCCUGAUGCAGCAACGCAGCGUGCGGGAUGACGGCCUUCGGGUUGUAAACCGCUUUCGCCUGUGACGAAGCGUGAGUGACGGUAAUGGGUAAAGAAGCACCGGCUAACUACGUG